RNAcentral lists this ribosomal RNA (301 nucleotides) under uncultured bacterium. Its description in RNAcentral is "partial 16S ribosomal RNA". It matches the Rfam family "Bacterial small subunit ribosomal RNA", at positions 509 to 809 of the family's 1533-position model. The record is from RNAcentral.
CAGUCGCCACGGUAAUACGAGGGGGGCAAGCGUUGUUCGGAAUUAUUGGGCGUAAAGGGUGCGUAGGCGGCUUGACAAGUCUUGUGUGAAAUCUAUGGGCUCAACCCAUAGUCUGCACGGGAAACUGUCGGGCUUGAGAAUGGGAGAGGUGAGUGGAAUUUCCGGUGUAGCGGUGAAAUGCGUAGAUAUCGGAAGGAACACCUGUGGCGAGAGCGGCUCACUGGACCAUUUCUGACGCUGAUGCACGAAAGCUAGGGGAGCAAACAGGAUUAGAUACCCGCGUAGUCCCUGUCUCUUAUAA